ACCUUAGAGACCAACUAAGUUUGUUCUGGGUAUAAGAUUUUGUGUGCACACGAAAACUUAUACCCAGAACAAACUUAGUUGGUCUCUAAGGU
Podarcis lilfordi (Lilford's wall lizard) is the source of this 92-nucleotide non-coding RNA. The record is from the annotation of a GenBank genome assembly. NCBI's taxonomy places the organism in Eukaryota, Metazoa, Chordata, Lepidosauria, Squamata, Lacertidae.